ACUAUGCCCCAUCAACAUAACCUGCAUUAUCCAUCAAGAAACUUCUUCUCAACUCUUUAACACACCCUACACAAUUCAGUUCACUAUACUAACUAAUUUAGCUACUAAAUCAACCAAAAUCCACUCCAAAAACGUGAUUCUGCAGCAAAUUCAUCAUCAGUUCCACUGAAUCAGCAAAGAAAGCUAACCUCGUUGUGGUGAGUCAUG
This is a long non-coding RNA of Arabidopsis thaliana (thale cress), 207 nucleotides long. RefSeq annotates it as other RNA. The transcript has a single exon. NCBI's taxonomy places the organism in Eukaryota, Viridiplantae, Streptophyta, Magnoliopsida, Brassicales, Brassicaceae. The record is from RefSeq.